UUUAAUGAGAGUUUGAUCCUGGCUCAGGACGAACGCUGGCGGCGUGCCUAAUACAUGCAAGUAGAACGCUGAGGUUUGGUGUUUACACUAGACUGAUGAGUUGCGAACGGGUGAGUAACGCGUAGGUAACCUGCCUCAUAGCGGGGGAUAACUAUUGGAAACGAUAGCUAAUACCGCAUAAGAGUAAUUAACACAUGUUAGUUAUUUAAAAGGAGCAAUUGCUUCACUGUGAGAUGGACCUGCGUUGUAUUAGCUAGUUGGUGAGGUAAA
RNAcentral lists this ribosomal RNA (270 nucleotides) under Streptococcus agalactiae. RNAcentral's name for it is "partial 16S ribosomal RNA". It matches the Rfam family "Bacterial small subunit ribosomal RNA", at positions 1 to 261 of the family's 1533-position model. Lineage: Bacteria; Bacillati; Bacillota; Bacilli; Lactobacillales; Streptococcaceae. The record is from RNAcentral.